GAUGAACGCUAGCGGCAGGCUUAAUACAUGCAAGUCGUGGGGCAGCAUGAGUAGCAAUACUUGAUGGCGACCGGCAAACGGGUGAGGAACACGUACACAACCUUCCUUCAAGCGGGGAAUAGCCCAGAGAAAUUUGGAUUAAUACCCCCAUAAUAUAUUUGAUAAGGCAUCUUAUUAAAUAUUAAAGCUUCGGCACUUGAUGAUGGGUGUGCGGCUGAUUAGAUAGUUGGCGGGGUAACGGCCCACCAAGUCUACGAUCAGUAGCUGAUGUGAGAGCAUGAUCAGCCACACGGGCACUGAGACACGGGGCCCGACUCCUACGGGAGGCAGCAGUAAGGAAUAUUGGACAAUGGACGAAAGUCUGAUCCAGCCAUGCCGCGUGAAGGAUUAAGGUCCUCUGGA
RNAcentral lists this ribosomal RNA (402 nucleotides) under uncultured bacterium. RNAcentral describes it as "bacterial SSU rRNA". It matches the Rfam family "Bacterial small subunit ribosomal RNA", at positions 28 to 422 of the family's 1533-position model. The record is from RNAcentral.